Molecule: ribosomal RNA, 413 nt
Filed under: uncultured prokaryote
Description: bacterial SSU rRNA
Rfam family: Bacterial small subunit ribosomal RNA
Source: RNAcentral
GUGCCAGCCGCCGCGGUAAUACGGAGGGGGCUAGCGUUGUUCGGAAUUACUGGGCGUAAAGCGCACGUAGGCGGACUGGAAAGUCAGAGGUGAAAUCCCAGGGCUCAACCUUGGAACUGCCUUUGAAACUAUCAGUCUGGAGUUCGAGAGAGGUGAGUGGAAUUCCGAGUGUAGAGGUGAAAUUCGUAGAUAUUCGGAGGAACACCAGUGGCGAAGGCGGCUCACUGGCUCGAUACUGACGCUGAGGUGCGAAAGCGGGGGGAGCAAACAGGAUUAGAUACCCUGGUAGUCCACGCCGUAAACGAUGAAUGCCAGACGGCGGCAAGCAUGCUUGUCGGUGUCACACCUAACGGAUUAAGCAUUCCGCCUGGGGAGUACGGCCGCAAGGUUAAAACUUAAAUGAAUUGACGGGG